This is a long non-coding RNA of Solanum lycopersicum (tomato), 620 nucleotides long. RefSeq lists it as uncharacterized. Lineage: Eukaryota; Viridiplantae; Streptophyta; Magnoliopsida; Solanales; Solanaceae. The record is from RefSeq and is a predicted model, not a curated record.
AAGGCCUAAAUCGAUGAGAUUUUCAUCUCUUAAUUCAACAUUUUCUUCUCUGUCAAACCGUAAGGCAGAAACCUAAGGAAAAAUCAAAGUAGAAGACUUUCAUUCAAGAUUCUUCUUCAAGUUUCAAGAAACUAAUUCAAGGCUUAUAAUCAAGUUCCUCUUCAAGAUUUCUCAAAAACUUUGUUCUUCAAGGAAUUGCCGUUCCGUUCUAAUGAAGAUGUGGCGGUGGAAGAGAAGGAAGUAUUCUUCCGUUUCAUGGAAAAAAUCAAACUAGAAGGAUCUGGGGAUGGACAAGUGAGAACACUGGAAGUAGAGAUUCAUCCUGCAGGGUUAAGGAAGAUCGUUGUGAAAAAGGGAAAUGCAGCCGGUGAAGAUGAGAAUGAAUUGAAUGUGGAUACAUAUUGGAGGUACAUAUUGACUGCUUCGACUAUGCCAGAGCUGGCUGCGGUGGUAUUUGUGGAUGGAGAUCUGAUGUGAUGGUGCCCAAUUAUGACCAAGGUCCUGGAGAAUUUGAUAAUGGAUCUAGAGGUGUUUGGAGAGACGUUGAACUUGUUGUUGUACAAUAGUUAACAUUUUCAAAUUUUAUGAAUCAAAUAAACAAACUACUAGUACAUCAGAGA